UGGCGAACGGGUGAGUAAUAUAUCGGAACGUACCCUGGAGUGGGGGAUAACGUAGCGAAAGUUACGCUAAUACCGCAUACGAUCUAAGGAUGAAAUGGGGGAUUCGCAAGAACCUCAUGCUCGUGGAGCGGCCGAUAUCUGAUUAGCUAGUUGGUAGGGUAAAAGCCUACCAAGGCGACGACGGGUAGCCGGCCUGAGAGGGCGACCGGCCACACUGGGACUGAGACACGGCCCAG
RNAcentral lists this ribosomal RNA (236 nucleotides) under uncultured bacterium. Its description in RNAcentral is "partial 16S ribosomal RNA". It matches the Rfam family "Bacterial small subunit ribosomal RNA", at positions 96 to 334 of the family's 1533-position model. The record is from RNAcentral.